RNAcentral lists this non-coding RNA (21 nucleotides) under Arabidopsis thaliana (thale cress). The record is from RNAcentral. Lineage: Eukaryota; Viridiplantae; Streptophyta; Magnoliopsida; Brassicales; Brassicaceae.
GAAGUAUGUGUCAACAUGGUU